RNAcentral lists this ribosomal RNA (408 nucleotides) under uncultured bacterium. RNAcentral describes it as "partial 16S ribosomal RNA". It matches the Rfam family "Bacterial small subunit ribosomal RNA", at positions 28 to 526 of the family's 1533-position model. The record is from RNAcentral.
GACGAACGCUGGCGGCGUGCUUAACACAUGCAAGUCGAACGAAGUGGCGAACGGGUGAGUAACGCGUAAUCAACCUGCCCUUCAGAGGGGGACAACAGUUGGAAACGACUGCUAAUACCGCAUACUGAAGGAGGGGAUUGAGUCUGAUUAGCUAGUUGGAGGGGUAACGGCCUACCAAGGCGAGGAUCAGUAGCCGGUGCUGUAGGAGGAACGGCCACAUUGGGACUGAGACACGGCCCAGACUCCUACGGGAGGCAGCAGUGGGGAAGCUUCCGCAAUGGACGAAAGUCUGACGGAGCAACGCCGCGUGGUGGAUGACGGCCUUCGGGUUGUAAAGCUCUGUUAAUCGGGACGCGGUACCGGAAUAGAAAGCCACGGCUAACUACGUGCCAGCAGCCGCGGUAAUAC